RNAcentral lists this ribosomal RNA (252 nucleotides) under uncultured bacterium. Its description in RNAcentral is "partial 16S ribosomal RNA". It matches the Rfam family "Bacterial small subunit ribosomal RNA", at positions 524 to 776 of the family's 1533-position model. The record is from RNAcentral.
UACGUAGGGGGCAAGCGUUGUCCGGAAUUAUUGGGCGUAAAGCGCGCGCAGGCGGUUAAUUAAGUUGGGUGUUUAAUCCUGGGGCUCAACUCCGGGUCGCAUCCAAAACUGGUUAACUUGAGUGCAGAAGAGGAGAGUGGAAUUCCACGUGUAGCGGUGAAAUGCGUAGAUAUGUGGAGGAACACCAGUGGCGAAGGCGACUCUCUGGGCUGUAACUGACGCUGAGGCGCGAAAGCGUGGGGAGCAAACAGG